GCUCUCCAACACCCUUCAAUUCUCCAAAACCUAAACACAAAGAUUGUUCUGGCGCCACUAAAAAGCUUCGGCUAAUUAGUCCAGAGUAUGUCAUAUACACUGACACAGAACUAGAACUAGCAAGAAGUGCUUACUUUGAAAAGCAGCGUGCUGGACAAGACAAAGACUACACCAUGCCAAAAGACUUGCUCUGUAGACUCAUUAGGAAUACAGUAACAGGCAUGAUUGCUAUGAAAAGAGCGUCCGAGGAUGAUUUUAAGUACCCAGGCUCCCGUGAACUGACUGCCAUGGCUAAGCGUCUAGUAGAAUACUACCCAAUGCUGUGAGACAAGUCUACGUCCAAUACACCUGAAUGGUUAAGUCUCUCAUUGUGUUGAGGAAUUUUUUUUUUAAUCUGUUACCAAUGGUAAUAAUAGUUUGUUUUUAUUGUUUUGUUAUUUUAGGAAAUGGUGAAGAAGCAGUUGUUGAAAAGGGUUCAGAAUGUGACAACUCCAAAAAAGAAGCAAGGUCCAACCCCAUCAAGAAAAGGACCUAGAAGCCUAAAAUUCCAGAGCAGCCAGGCGACGUGCACUGAAGAGAGUGAUGAACCUUUCUCCUCCCCUGCUUCAGUCUCUUCAGCUGCUUCAUCAGUCGCCUCGUCGUCUUCCUCCACUGUGAUCCUAGAGAAGUCAACUCCUUCUACAAGUACUUCCCAAGAGGUGGAUCUCUAUAGUGCUAUAGAGAGCCCACAGAGCCAAGCGAGACACUAUAAAACUCUGCAGGAUUUGUACAAAACUAAGAACAAACCCAACAAGGAAGAUGUAUCCCAGCUGCUGGAAUUGGAGUUCCAAUCUAGACGAGCUUUCAUUGACUCUGAUGUGAUGAAGGAACAGGACAGGCCUAUGAAGAUACUGCAGGCUUAUCCAUGUUUUAAAGAACUUGGCCAUAUCAUCGAUGAACUCCAGCGAAUCCUUGAUAAAGGAAACCCCUUCUUCACAAUGGAGCUGAAGAAACGUUGGCUGAGAUUUUUUAACCAGGCACAGUUUUAUGGGGUGUUCAAAAAAAUCAUAGGACCACCACUGCAGGACCAAGGUAAGGAUGAUUUAUUUGCUGUUACCCACAUACACAAAGACCUAAAAUUAUUAUGAUUUAUUAUUAUUGUUUAAACAGUAAAGAAUGCACUUGCUGUCCUGAAAGUACUGCCUCAGAUGUUCCCUUCGCAUGUAGCUCUGCUGAAGAGGUUGGGACACCCAAGUGAUGCUUUGAUUCACAUUUUGAAGGUAAGGUUAAUAUACAUAUAUACACACACACACACACACAUAUAAUUAGAAUAUCAUGAAAAAGUUCAUUUAUUUCUGUAAUUCAACUUAAAAUGUGGAACUAAUAUGUGAUAUAGACUCAACAUGCAAAGUGACAUAAUGUCAAGCCUUUAUUUUUUUAUAAUUUGGAUGAUUAUGGCUUACAGUCCAUUUUCAAAAUAUUCAAAUUUUAUGAGAUUUUUAAUUUGGGGUUUUUACAAGCUGAGCCAUAAUAAUCAAAAUUAUAACAAAUAAAGGCUAUACAUAUCUCA
This is a long non-coding RNA of Gouania willdenowi (blunt-snouted clingfish), 1549 nucleotides long. NCBI's taxonomy places the organism in Eukaryota, Metazoa, Chordata, Actinopteri, Blenniiformes, Gobiesocidae. The record is from Ensembl.